CUUUUGUGCUGACUCCGAAGGAGCCUGCAGUUUAUUGUGAAGCAGAAAAUAUCUGCGGACACCAUGAAUGGAGCGGAUUAUCUGCAGCAGCACAGCGCCGAGAGUCUGUCCUUCGAAGAGAUGCAGCAGAUUAACCCGCUCGGAGUCCAUCAGCAGCAGAAAGACGAGGGCAGCCAAACCUCCGAAGUUCAGCAGCUGCUGGAGAUGAAAGAGGAUCACCCUGAAUGGAGCCUCGGUCUGGACCAGCAGGACCGAGAGUCUCUGCAGAUAAAGGAGGAACAGGAAGAACUCUGGACCAAUCAGGAGGGAGAGCAGCAUAAUGGAUUGAAGUCUUUGCAGCUUCAUCAAAGCCAAACUGAAGACAACAGUGAGAUGGAGCCUCUGACCAGCAGCCCAGCUAAACAGGUGUGCCGACAGCGCCAACAAGUCUACAGCCAGUCACCAAACAUGAUGCAAAAAAACGUGUCAAGAUUCAGCAUCCCGCCAAUGGAAAGGAGGACUGCACGUAGAUCCAUGAAAGGAAGAGGGAGAUGGCAGAAGUGCCUGCCUGCCAGUUCCAGUUCGGACAUCACUCUUGCAACCUCUCAAUACCAGAAGGACUCGGACGAAAACAGUGACCCCUCGCUGUCACUCAUUGCCAACAUGCCACACACAAUGCUGGAGCCGGGCUCGUCAGCCAGCCUGCACGGACGUGUUGGCCACAGAGUUGUGACCGGGGAGCCAGAGUUGGAGAUAGAGGAUGAAAAGCCAAUGGUGUCGCAUUGGCCCGGGGUCAAGAAGAGGAUCCGGAUGGAGCCAGAGGCGACUCUCUCGCCCGAACAGGAAGACCACCUCGUAGAGUGGUUUGCAGCUCACCCGUUCUUCUACGACCAGACAGCACGCGACUUCAAGGACAAGCGCAGGCGAGAGCAGCUGCUGGAUCAGAAGGCCGAGGAGCUAGGAGUUACCGGGAACUUCCUCUGGGGGUGGUUCCGCAACAUGCGGACCGUCUAUGGUAAACUAAGGAAGAAGAAGAAUGAGCAAGCAACACGACCACUGACAGCCAGGCAGCGGUGGACUUCAGAUAUGUUCAAAUUCUUGGACAAGCACAUGACCAUCCGCAGGAGCAGCCUGGGAAAGCUUCAAGGGGCACAGUCCACCAAUACCGGAGUGGAAGAGGAGGAGGAGGAAGAGGAAGAAGAAGAAGGAGACGAAGAGCCUGCGAGGUCAUCAAGUCGUCCUGGGUCUCCGUCUCCUGUUCCCUCCAGUCAAACCCCAAAGUUAAAGGGCAAGAAGGCCAAGCUCGCCAGCCGCUGCGUCAACAAGGCAGUUCUUCAAAUCCCAAACAGCAUGUCCUCACUGCAGACGGCUAUGAGGUCCCUGCAGGUAGCUAUGGAGUCCCUGCAGGCGGCCGUUGGGGGGUUGAGCAACAACCGAGUCAUGUACUGUCAAUACCUGAGCACCGAGGUGGGCAUGCUCACAGAGGAACAGUGGUCAAUGUUUCAGCAGGAGACUAUGGGGAUGCUUAUUCGUUUCCGUACUGCCCGUCAGCAGCGGCAGCAGUCCGCAGUUCCAGUCCUCCUCCCUCCGGGCUCCAUGGAGUCGAUUCCAGGCCCGAGCAGCACUCUGCUCAGUAGUUCCUAUUUCCAGUCCCGGCCAGCACCGCCCCAGUAGCCUCUGUCCCAGCAAAUUAAUUUUUUUAUUGAAUUUGUGAACUAUUUCACAAUUUAUUUACUGAUCAUAGUUGAGUGUUUAUGUUAAUAAACAAUCAUGUUUCACUGGUACUUACUUCUUGAUUCCUUGUAUCACAGUAGUAAAACUUGUGCCUUACAGCUGCAAGACAUUUUAAUUGGCGCAAAUUUUACUUUGAGGCGGAGAGUCUCAGUUUCUUGUCGGUGUUAUGUGUAAACUUGAAAAAUAGAAAAAGCAGAUGUUUCUCAUUAUAUUGUACUUUAUACAUGGACCAUUGUGACCUUUAAAUUCUUAUAUUCUAAAUUUGAAAUUAAAAUUUCAAUUUCUUUUCAUGUGAGUGAACUAUCUUGUAUUUUGUAUUUAUUACACUGGGAUAUAGGGAUACCAAAAAAGCUAAAAAUAAUUGCCUUAUUCAUUCAAAUCUCUCCACAGCCACAAGUUAGCCUACCAGGUUAGAGCUCCAGC
This is a long non-coding RNA of Astatotilapia calliptera (eastern happy), 2136 nucleotides long. The record is from Ensembl. Lineage: Eukaryota; Metazoa; Chordata; Actinopteri; Cichliformes; Cichlidae.